UUGAACGCUGGCGGCAUGCUUUACACAUGCAAGUCGAACGGCAGCACGGGGGCAACCCUGGUGGCGAGUGGCGAACGGGUGAGUAAUAUAUCGGAACAUGUCCGGAAGUGGGGGAUAACGUAGCGAAAGUUACGCUAAUACCGCAUAUGCCCUGAGGGGGAAAGGAGGGGAUCGCAAGACCUUUCGCUUUCGGAGUGGCCGAUAUCAGAUUAGCUAGUUGGUGAGGUAAAGGCUCACCAAGGCGACGAUCUGUAGCUGGUCUGAGAGGACGACCAGCCACACUGGAACUGAGACACGGUCCAGACUCCUACGGGAGGCAGCAGUGGGGAAUUUUGGACAAUGGGCGCAAGCCUGAUCCAGCCAUGCCGCGUGAGUGAAGAAGGCCUUCGGGCUGUAAAGCUCUUUCGGCAGGAACGAAACGGUGAGCUCUAACAUAGCUUGCUAAUGACGGUACCUGAAGAAGAAGCACCGGCUAACUACGU
RNAcentral lists this ribosomal RNA (482 nucleotides) under uncultured bacterium. RNAcentral describes it as "bacterial SSU rRNA". It matches the Rfam family "Bacterial small subunit ribosomal RNA", at positions 30 to 506 of the family's 1533-position model. The record is from RNAcentral.